CAUGUUGAGAAUCAAUUCCCGGUACCCGAAACCGACACAGGUGGGCAAGUAGAGAAUACUAAGGGGCGCGAGGUAACUCUCUCCAAGGAACUCGGCAAAUGACCCCGUAACUUAGGGAGAAGGGGUGCCACCGAGAGGUGGUCGCAGUGAAGAGGCCCAGGCGACUGUUUAGCAAAAACAUAGGUCUCUGCAAACUCGAAAGAGGAGGUAUAGGGGCUGACGCCUGCCCAGUGCCGGAAGGUUAAAGAAGUUGGUCAGUUUUAGGAUGAAGCUAGCGACUGAAGCCCCGGUGAACGGCGGCCGUAACUAUAACGGUCCUAAGGUAGCGAAAUUCCUUGUCGGGUAAGUUCCGACCCGCACGAAAGGCGUAACGAUCUGGGCGCUGUCUCGGAGAGAGGCUCGGCGAAAUAGGAUUGUCUGUGAAGAUACGGACUACCUGCAUUUGGACAGAAAGACCCUAUGAAGCUUUACUAUAGCUUGGAAUUGUGUUCGGGCUUCCUGUGCGCAGGAUAGGUGGGAGGCGUAGAAGGUAUUCUUGUGGGGAUACUGGAGCCAACGGUGAGAUACCACUCUCAGGAGGCUAGAAUUCUAACUUAAUUAAGGACAGUUUCAGGUGGGUAGUUUGACUGGGGCGGUCGCCUCCAAAAAGGUAACGGAGGCGUACAAAGGUUCCCUCAGACUGGUUGGAAAUCAGUCGAAGAGUGCAAAGGCAGAAGGGAGCUUGACUGCGAGAAGUACAGUUCGAGCAGGGUGGAAACACGGUCUUAGUGAUCCGACGGUGCUGUGUGGAAGGGCCGUCGCUCAACGGAUAAAAGUUACUCUAGGAUAACAGGCUGAUCUCCCCCAAGAGUUCACAUCGACGGGGAGGUUUGGCACCUCGAUGUCGGCUCAUCGCAACCUGGGGCGGAAGUACGUCCCAAGGGUUGGGCUGUUCGCCCAUUAAAGCGGUACGUGAGCUGGGUUCAGAACGUCGUGAGACAGUUCGGUCCAUAUCCGAUGUAGGCGUGAGAAUAUUGAGAGGAGCCUUCCUUAGUACGAGAGGACCGGGAAGGACGCACCGCUGGUGUACCUGUUAUGAUGCCAAUUGUAAACGCAGGGUAGCCAAGUGCGGAGAGGAUAACCGCUGAAAGCAUCUAAGUGGGAAGCCCACCUCAAGAUGAGUAUUCUGGUGUAAGGUCACGGGAAGACGACCCGUAAAUAGGCACGAGGUGGAAGUGCAGAGAUGUAUGAAGCCGAAGUGUACUAAUAGACCGUCGGCUUGAC
Molecule: ribosomal RNA, 1263 nt
Filed under: metagenome
Description: bacterial LSU rRNA
Rfam family: Bacterial large subunit ribosomal RNA
Source: RNAcentral